AUUGAACGCUGGCGGCAUGCUUUACACAUGCAAGUCGAACGGCAGCGCGGGCUUCGGCCUGGCGGCGAGUGGCGAACGGGUGAGUAAUACAUCGGAACGUGCCCAGUAGUGGGGGAUAGCUCGGCGAAAGCCGGAUUAAUACCGCAUACGACCUGAGGGUGAAAGCGGGGGAUCUUCGGACCUCGCGCUAUUGGAGCGGCCGAUGGCAGAUUAGCUAGUUGGUGGGGUAAAGGCCUACCAAGGCGACGAUCGGUAGCUGGUCUGAGAGGACGACCAGCCACACUGGGACUGAGACACGGCCCAGACUCCUACGGGAGGCAGCAGUGGGGAAUUUUGGGCAAUGGGCGAAAGCCUGAUCCAGCAAUGCCGCGUGUGUGAUGAAGGCCUUCGGGUUGUAAAGCACUUUUGGCGGGAACGAAAAGGACUGUGCCAAUACCACGGUUCGAUGACGGUACCCGCAGAAUAAGCACCGGCUAACUACGUG
RNAcentral lists this ribosomal RNA (484 nucleotides) under uncultured bacterium. RNAcentral describes it as "partial 16S ribosomal RNA". It matches the Rfam family "Bacterial small subunit ribosomal RNA", at positions 29 to 507 of the family's 1533-position model. The record is from RNAcentral.